AGCCUUCUGUAUCCGUACUGAGAUUACGUUACACACCAGACCACAAGGGCUGAUGAGACUUCCAAGAUAAGUGAAGCG
This 78-nucleotide microRNA precursor is filed under the name Schistosoma margrebowiei. RNAcentral's name for it is "mir-3492 microRNA precursor family". It matches the Rfam family "mir-3492 microRNA precursor family". Lineage: Eukaryota; Metazoa; Platyhelminthes; Trematoda; Strigeidida; Schistosomatidae. The record is from Rfam by way of RNAcentral.